GAUGAACGCUGGCGGCGUGCCUAAUACAUGCAAGUCGAGCGAACAGACGAGGAGCUUGCUCCUCUGACGUUAGCGGCGGACGGGUGAGUAACACGUGGAUAACCUACCUAUAAGACUGGGAUAACUUCGGGAAACCGGAGCUAAUACCGGAUAAUAUAUUGAACCGCAUGGUUCAAUAGUGAAAGACGGUUUUGCUGUCACUUAUAGAUGGAUCCGCGCCGCAUUAGCUAGUUGGUAAGGUAACGGCUUACCAAGGCAACGAUGCGUAGCCGACCUGAGAGGGUGAUCGGCCACACUGGAACUGAGACACGGUCCAGACUCCUACGGGAGGCAGCAGUAGGGAAUCUGCCGCAAUGGGCGAAAGCUUGACGGAGCAACGCCGCGUGAGAGAUGAAGGUCUUGGGAUCGUAAAACUCUGUUAUUAGGGAAGAACAAAUGUGUAAGUAACUAUGCACGUCUUGACGGUACCUAAUCAGAAAGCCACGGCUAACUACGUG
RNAcentral lists this ribosomal RNA (497 nucleotides) under uncultured bacterium. RNAcentral's name for it is "partial 16S ribosomal RNA". It matches the Rfam family "Bacterial small subunit ribosomal RNA", at positions 28 to 507 of the family's 1533-position model. The record is from RNAcentral.